Molecule: ribosomal RNA, 658 nt
Filed under: Cellulomonas sp.
Lineage: Bacteria; Bacillati; Actinomycetota; Actinomycetes; Micrococcales; Cellulomonadaceae
Description: bacterial SSU rRNA
Rfam family: Bacterial small subunit ribosomal RNA
Source: RNAcentral
CCGCGUGAGGGGAUGAAGGCUUUCGGGGUUGUAAACCUCUUUCAGCAGGGAAGAAGCGAAAGUGACGGUACCUGCAGAAGAAGCGCCGGCUAACUACGUGCCAGCAGCCGCGGUAAUACGUAGGGCGCAAGCGUUGUCCGGAAUUAUUGGGCGUAAAGAGCUCGUAGGCGGUUUGUCGCGUCUGCUGUGAAAACUCGAGGCUCAACCUCGGGCUUGCAGUGGGUACGGGCAGACUAGAGUGCGGUAGGGGUGACUGGAAUUCCUGGUGUAGCGGUGGAAUGCGCAGAUAUCAGGAGGAACACCGAUGGCGAAGGCAGGUCACUGGGCCGCAACUGACGCUGAGGAGCGAAAGCAUGGGGAGCGAACAGGAUUAGAUACCCUGGUAGUCCAUGCCGUAAACGUUGGGCACUAGGUGUGGGGCUCAUUCCACGAGUUCCGUGCCGCAGCAAACGCAUUAAGUGCCCCGCCUGGGGAGUACGGCCGCAAGGCUAAAACUCAAAGAAAUUGACGGGGGCCCGCACAAGCGGCGGAGCAUGCGGAUUAAUUCGAUGCAACGCGAAGAACCUUACCAAGGCUUGACAUACACCGGAAACUUCCAGAGAUGGUUGCCCCGCAAGGUCGKUGUACUAGGUGGUGCAUGGUGUCGUCAGCUCGUGUC